Molecule: ribosomal RNA, 253 nt
Filed under: uncultured bacterium
Lineage: Bacteria
Description: partial 16S ribosomal RNA
Rfam family: Bacterial small subunit ribosomal RNA
Source: RNAcentral
UAGGGAGGGUGCAAACGUUGCUCGGAAUCAUUGGGCGUAAAGCGCACGUAGGCGGUCCGGUAAGUCGGAUGUGAAAGCCCUCGGCUCAACCGAGGAAGUGCAUUCGAAACUGCCGGACUUGAGUACGGGAGAGGGAUGCGGAAUUCCCGGUGUAGAAGUGAAACUCGUAGAUAUAGGGAGGUACACCAGUGGCGAAGGCGGCAGCCUGGACCGAUACUGACGCUGAGGUGCCAAAGCGUCGGGAGCAAACAGG